CCUACGGGAGGCAGCAGUGGGGAAUUUUGGACAAUGGGCGCAAGCCUGAUCCAGCCAUGCCGCGUGCAGGAUGAAGGCCUUCGGGUUGUAAACUGCUUUUGUACGGAACGAAAAGGUUUGGCCUAAUAAGCUGAGCUCAUGACGGUACCGUAAGAAUAAGCACCGGCUAACUACGUGCCAGCAGCCGCGGUAAUACGUAGGGUGCGAGCGUUAAUCGGAAUUACUGGGCGUAAAGCGUGCGCAGGCGGUUAUGUAAGACAGAUGUGAAAUCCCCGGGCUCAACCUGGGAACUGCAUUAGUGACUGCAUAGCUGGAGUACGGCAGAGGGGGGAUGGAAUUCCGCGUGUAGCAGUGAAAUGCGUAGAUAUGCGGAGGAACACCGAUGGCGAAGGCAAUCCCCUGGGCCUGUACUGACGCUCAUGCACGAAAGCGUGGGGAGCAAACAGGAUUAGAUACCCUGGUAGUCCACGCCCUAAACGAUGUCAACUGGUUGUUGGGUCUUCACUGACUCAGUACGAAGCUAACGCGUGAAGUUGAACCGCCUGGGGGUUGGUUACGGUCCGCGAGGUUAGAACGUUACGAUAGAGUUAGACGGCGUUGAGACGNGCCGACGGACGACGACGAGGGGAGGUUAGG
Molecule: ribosomal RNA, 636 nt
Filed under: uncultured bacterium
Lineage: Bacteria
Description: bacterial SSU rRNA
Rfam family: Bacterial small subunit ribosomal RNA (bases 1-543)
Source: RNAcentral